Molecule: ribosomal RNA, 607 nt
Filed under: uncultured bacterium
Lineage: Bacteria
Description: bacterial SSU rRNA
Rfam family: Bacterial small subunit ribosomal RNA
Source: RNAcentral
CCAGACUCCUACGGGAGGCAGCAGUGGGGAAUCUUCCGCAAUGGACGAAAGUCUGACGGAGCAACGCCGCGUGAGUGAUGACGGCCUUCGGGUUGUAAAGCUCUGUUAAUCGGGACGAAAGGCCUUCUUGCAAAUAGUGAGAAGGAUUGACGGUACCGGAAUAGAAAGCCACGGCUAACUACGUGCCAGCAGCCGCGGUAAUACGUAGGUGGCAAGCGUUGUCCGGAAUUAUUGGGCGUAAAGCGCGCGCAGGCGGAUAGGUCAGUCUGUCUUAAAAGUUCGGGGCUUAACCCCGUGAUGGGAUGGAAACUGCCAAUCUAGAGUAUCGGAGAGGAAAGUGGAAUUCCUAGUGUAGCGGUGAAAUGCGUAGAUAUUAGGAAGAACACCAGUGGCGAAGGCGACUUUCUGGACGAAAACUGACGCUGAGGCGCGAAAGCCAGGGGAGCGAACGGGAUUAGAUACCCCGGUAGUCCUGGCCGUAAACGAUGGGUACUAGGUGUAGGAGGUAUCGACCCCUUCUGUGCCGGAGUUAACGCAAUAAGUACCCCGCCUGGGGAGUACGACCGCAAGGUUGAAACUCAAAGGAAUUGACGGGGGCCCGCACAAG